GGGACGAACGCUGGCGGCGUGCCUAACACAUGCAAGUGGAGCGACGAACCAGGCUUCGGCCUGGGGCAGAGCCGCGAACGGGUGAGUAACACGUGGGUAACCUGCCCUGAUGAUUGGGACAACCCGAGGAAACUCGGGCUAAUACCGAAUGUGCCCUCUGGCCUCAAGGCCUCUGGGGAAAGGAAGCUUCGGCCUCCGCAUCGGGAUGGGCCCGCGGCCCAUUAGCUUGUUGGUGAGGUAACGGCUCACCAAGGCAACGAUGGGUAGCUGGUCUGAGAGGACGAUCAGCCACACUGGGACUGAGACACGGCCCAGACUCCUACGGGAGGCAGCAGUAGGGAAUAUUGGACAAUGGGCGCAAGCCUGAUCCAGCCAUGCCGCGUGGAUGAUGAAGGCCUUAGGGUUGUAAAGUCCUUUUAACGGGGAAGAUAAUGACGGUACCCGUAGAAUAAGCCCGGCUAACUUCGUGCCAGCAGCCGC
Molecule: ribosomal RNA, 480 nt
Filed under: uncultured bacterium
Lineage: Bacteria
Description: SSU rRNA
Rfam family: Bacterial small subunit ribosomal RNA
Source: RNAcentral